This 95-nucleotide transfer RNA is filed under the name Micromonospora fulviviridis. RNAcentral's name for it is "tRNA-Ser". Lineage: Bacteria; Bacillati; Actinomycetota; Actinomycetes; Micromonosporales; Micromonosporaceae. The record is from RNAcentral.
CGUCGGCGAUGCGGAUCGGCACCGUCGGCCGGCCGCUGCCCGGCGUGGAGUUGGCGAUCGCCGAUGACGGCGAGAUCCUCGCCCGCGGCGACGUC